GACGAACGCUGGCGGCGUGCUUAACACAUGCAAGUCGAACGGAAAGACCCUGCUUUUGUGGGGUGCUCGAGUGGCGAACGGGUGAGUAACACGUGAGUAACCUGCCCUUGACUUUGGGAUAACUUCAGGAAACUGGGGCUAAUACCGGAUAGGAGCUCCUGCUGCAUGGUGGGGGUUGGAAAGUUUCGGCGGUUGGGGAUGGACUCGCGGCUUAUCAGCUUGUUGGUGGGGUAGUGGCUUACCAAGGCUUUGACGGGUAGCCGGCCUGAGAGGGUGACCGGCCACAUUGGGACUGAGAUACGGCCCAGAGUCCUACGGGAGGCAGCAGUGGGGAAUAUUGCACAAAGGGCGGAAGCCUGAGGGAGCAACGCCGCGUGCGGGAUGACGGCCUUCGGGUUGUAAACCGCUUUCGCCUGUGACGAAGCGUGAGUGACGGUAAUGGGUAAAGAAGAACAGGCUAACUACGUG
RNAcentral lists this ribosomal RNA (468 nucleotides) under uncultured bacterium. Its description in RNAcentral is "partial 16S ribosomal RNA". It matches the Rfam family "Bacterial small subunit ribosomal RNA", at positions 28 to 507 of the family's 1533-position model. The record is from RNAcentral.